UUCCACUCAGUCUAGUCUCAUUCUAAGCAUGGAGAAUUUUGGUAUGUAAAACAAAAUCAACACUAAUUAUUAUGAAAAGUUAAUUACUAUAUAUCUUAUUAUCAUGAUUAUGAUUUGAAUUAAAAGGGUAGUAUUUCUCUAUUAUAUAUAAAAAAAUAUAUAUUAGUAUUUCUAUACUUCGAUUAAUAACGAUUUUAAAUAAAGGUCUUUGACUGUAAUUUUGAACCACGAUAUAAUUUGUUUUUAUGUUGCCGAAAUUGCAGUACGACGUGCAUUAGACACAGUUAACUUCAAAUUUUUGCAAUAUUGAAGAUCGCGAUGCAACCACAAUUUAAAAUGUACAAUUAUAGAAUUACUAAUUUUGGAAAAGAAAUAUAAAAAAGAGUGUGUAAAGUUAUUUACUUGUUGUAGGUUGGAAGCUGAUUGGUUCAAUUGAGGUUGAGGGUCGGUGACUAAUGUUGUUGGUGUUGCAUGUGAGAAGAAAACAAUGAUGGAGAAUGUGAAGAUUAAGGCAAGAGUUUUCAUGGUUUAGUAUCUACUUGUGACCUUUUUUUGUGCUUCACAAGAGAAGAAUGCUUCUAUCAUAGCAUUAGAAAGGCCAGGGGCAAUAUUUAAGAACAUCAUCAUAAUGC
Molecule: long non-coding RNA, 632 nt
Filed under: Trifolium pratense (red clover)
Lineage: Eukaryota; Viridiplantae; Streptophyta; Magnoliopsida; Fabales; Fabaceae
Description: long non-coding RNA (TPRA_LNC003219)
Source: RNAcentral